CUUGGCCUUACAAAGUGCUGGGAUGACAGGCAUGAGCCACCGUGCCCGGCCGGUCCUGCUUUCUAGAAAAAACUGUAGUGCGCGCUCCAGAGACGUAACCCGUUCCCACACCUGAGUGGGCAACUCUAGCCUUUGAACACAGCCCUAGGAAAUGACUGCAAAUGAGGGGGAAGCUUUUUAAAUACAAGGAAAAAGGCAUUUGUACCAAGCUACAUCGCAGUGAAAUUAUCAUUGGAAAACAGUGGAAAGAGGCUGUGUGUCCCCCCACGGGUCAGGCGCAGUCCCAGGGAGGUCUAGACCCCAAGAGCAGAGAGGCCUACGGGAGGCACGGCUUGUGCCAGGAGGUGGGGUAUGCGGCCACCAGGCACUCUAGUUACACAGCGAUGGGCUGAAGGCUGUGCAUCCCGCAGGGAGUGAGCCCUCCGACCCUGGAGGAGUUCAAGCAGCUGCUUGUCAGGAUGCAGCGACAGGAGGGACACCGUUGCAGCCGAUGCCCGAGACAGCCAGAGGCUGCCGGCAUCCAGCAGCAGAGAGGCUGGGCCUGGAAUGGACCCCCAGAAGCUGGCCAGAGGCCUGGCAGUUGGGAAAGGCUCGGUCGUCCUGGGGAGGGAGCAGCACCAGCGGAGGCCCCGCCUGGGUCUUCAUCAGAGACACUCCAAGCUGGUGGGGGAUUCCUGGGACAGUGUCACCCCCGGCAGGCCCCAGGUGCCCACCGCCCACCCGGCCACAGUGGGAGCAGCUCGGGUCAGGGAGGCCGGGCUGAAUGCAAACCACUGCUGAGGAGACAAACGCGGCGCCACGAGCAGACCCGCAGCCUCUAGAACCUGCAGAGAAUGCUGGAGCUGCCCAGGGUGUGAUUCUUGUUACGUCUCCCCGAGCUGGCUGAGACAUACAGCUCCACUCCACCGGCCUGUGCCCAGAGACCCCGGGGUACAGGAGGAGGACGCCGCAGAGAGAACAAAAUUAAAGAAGAUUUCCCAGAGAUUUGUCAUCUGGCGGAGCAGGACCAGGGACAGGCUGAUGUGGUGGAGGUGGUGGACACGCUCUCAGCCCCACUCCAUCCCGGAGGCUCAGAGCCCACAGCAAGGACAACUCCUGGGUGAGCGGGUGCCAGGCAAGCAGCCCACACGCCGGGAGUCCCCAGGCUCCGAGAUGUGCCCCUUCCCUCAGCACACAGAUGAGGAAUCUGAAGCUCCAGGAGGCCAGGUCAUUUCCUCCCUGAGCCCCAGCAGCCAGCGGGUCUGCAACGUGGCCUCGAACCCAGACACCCCCGUGGGGGCUCACAGCUGUCCGAGGGCUGGCCACUCUCCCAGGAGCUGUGGCCGCGUCGUCCGGGGACCCAGCCCCAGGACAAGGUGGAGACAGCCCAGGGGGUCAGCGCUCACAAACCCCCCCACCCCGAGAAGAUCCAGUGCCCGAGGCUGGAAUAACCUCAGCCCCACCCACUACCCUCACCCCACUCACCAGCCUCACCCCCA
This 1478-nucleotide long non-coding RNA is filed under the name Homo sapiens (human). RNAcentral describes it as "HSALNT0383992". The record is from RNAcentral. Lineage: Eukaryota; Metazoa; Chordata; Mammalia; Primates; Hominidae.